UGGGCUUAAGUGACUUUGUUUAACAAGUUGGACUUGGCCCAGUUAAUCUUCUUCCCGUGGAGACGAAUGGAGUUCCCUUCCGGCCAUCGUGUCGUCAUCGCCGAUUCAUACGAACAUAAUAAAAACCUAAACGAACUACACAAACCCAACUCUGUUUAUCAUCUUCUUCUUCAUCUUUUCAUGAAAUCUCAUGGGUGUCGGUUUCAGUAAUUGGUGGAGAAAUAGCAAGUGUUGGUUGAAACUAAAGAGGUAGGGUUUUGAAUAGGUGGAGAAUUGAGAGGUUUGUGAUGAGAACGAGAGGAUGAAAUUAGGGUUUAGAGAGUACACGUGAAACCAUCCACACACGCAUCCUAUAGAUAGAUAUGGAGUAAGGACGAAAGCUGGUAAGUAGCAAUCAUUAGAAGAUGCUGGUGUCAAAAUUGCACAUUCUGCAGGAGCUUCAAUUCGUGGCACAAUGAACUUGCCUUAAAUAAGUCAAAGUGGGACAGGUAAAAGAGCUAUACGAUGAAAUAUGACUUCGUUCACCUCACUGAGCGGUGGAUACAGUUAGACUAUGAUUUGUAACGCCAGUGUGUAGAGGUGACCUAAUUUGAUGUUGUUGUGGUCCCAUCUGAUUAUUAUAUUAAACGAACAUUUCAAAUUUAGUGACGUUAUAUGACUGGGUUGUUAAAUUACUGUUCAUUCUUAUGCUGUCAGUUUACUGUUUCGUUGUUUCUGAUGUUCUAUCAAACUCUGCAUUCA
Helianthus annuus (common sunflower) is the source of this 741-nucleotide long non-coding RNA. RefSeq lists it as uncharacterized. The record is from RefSeq and is a predicted model, not a curated record. Lineage: Eukaryota; Viridiplantae; Streptophyta; Magnoliopsida; Asterales; Asteraceae. The transcript is spliced from 3 exons.